This 431-nucleotide ribosomal RNA is filed under the name uncultured bacterium. Its description in RNAcentral is "partial 16S ribosomal RNA". It matches the Rfam family "Bacterial small subunit ribosomal RNA", at positions 29 to 506 of the family's 1533-position model. The record is from RNAcentral.
ACGCACGCUGGCGGCAUGCCUCACACAUGCAAGUCGCACGAGACCUUCGGGUCUAGUGGCGCACGGGUGCGUAACGCGUGGGAACCUGCCCUUAGGUCCGGAAUAACUCCCCGAAAGGGGUGCUAAUACCGGAUAAUGUCUUCGGACCAAAGAUUUAUCGCCUUUGGAUGGGCCCGCGUUGGAUUAGCUAGUUGGUAGGGUAAAAGCCUACCAAGGCGACGAUCCAUAGCUGGUCUGAGAGGAUGAUCAGCCACACUGGGACUGAGACACGGCCCAGACUCCUACGGGAGGCAGCAGUGGGGAAUAUUGGACAAUGGGCGAAAGCCUGAUCCAGCAAUGCCGCGUGAGUGAUGAAGGCCUUAGGGUUGUAAAGCUCUUUUACCCGGGAUGAUAAUGACAGUACCGGGAGAAUAAGCUCCGGCUAACUCCGU